Molecule: ribosomal RNA, 439 nt
Filed under: uncultured bacterium
Lineage: Bacteria
Description: bacterial SSU rRNA
Rfam family: Bacterial small subunit ribosomal RNA
Source: RNAcentral
GGCUAAACGCGAAGAACCUUACCUGGCCUUGACAUGUCUGGAAUCCCGAAGAGAUUUGGGAGUGCCGCAAGGAGCCAGAACACAGGUGCUGCAUGGCUGUCGUCAGCUCGUGUCGUGAGAUGUUGGGUUAAGUCCCGCAACGAGCGCAACCCUUGUCCUUAGUUGCCAUCAUUAAGUUGGGAACUCUAAGGAGACCGCCGGUGACAAACCGGAGGAAGGUGGGGAUGACGUCAAGUCAUCAUGGCCUUUAUGGCCAGGGCUACACACGUGCUACAAUGGCAGGUACAGAGGGAAGCCAACCGGCGACGGGGAGCUAAUCCCAGAAAGCCUGUCUUAGUCCGGAUUGCAGUCUGCAACUCGACUGCAUGAAGUUGGAAUCGCUAGUAAUCGCAGAUCAGCAUUGCUGCGGUGAAUACGUUCCCGGGUCUUGUACACACCG